GACGAACGCUGGCGGCGUGCCUAAUACAUGCAAGUUGAGCGAUGAAGAUUGGUGCUUGCACCAAUUUGAAGAGCAGCGAACGGGUGAGUAACGCGUGGGGAAUCUGCCUUUGAGCGGGGGACAACAUUUGGAAACGAAUGCUAAUACCGCAUAACAACUUUAAACAUAAGUUUUAAGUUUGAAAGAUGCAAUUGCAUCACUCAAAGAUGAUCCCGCGUUGUAUUAGCUAGUUGGUGAGGUAAAGGCUCACCAAGGCGAUGAUACAUAGCCGACCUGAGAGGGUGAUCGGCCAAAAUGGGACUGAGACACGGCCCAAACUCCUACGGGAGGCAGCAGUAGGGAAUCUUCGGCAAUGGACGAAAGUCUGGCCGAGCAACGCCGCGUGAGUGAAGAAGGUUUUCGGAUCGUAAAACUCUGUUGGUAGAGAAGAACGUUGGUGAGAGUGGAAAGCUCAUCAAGUGACGGUAACUACCCAGAAAGGGACGGCUAACUACGUG
RNAcentral lists this ribosomal RNA (497 nucleotides) under uncultured bacterium. RNAcentral describes it as "partial 16S ribosomal RNA". It matches the Rfam family "Bacterial small subunit ribosomal RNA", at positions 28 to 507 of the family's 1533-position model. The record is from RNAcentral.